AACGAACGCUGGCGGCAUGCCUAACACAUGCAAGUCGAACGAGACCUUCGGGGCUAGUGGCGCACGGGUGCGUAACGCGUGGGAACUUGCACUUAGGUACGGAAUAACUCCCCGAAAGGGGUGCGAAUACCGGAUAAUGUCUUCGGACCAAAGAUUUAUCGCCUUUGGCUGGGCCCGCGUUGGAUUAGCUAGUUGGUAGGGUAAAAGCCUACCAAGGCGACGAUGCAUAGCUGGCGUGAGAGGAUGAUCAGCCACACUGGGACUGAGACACGGCCCCGACUCGUACGGGACGGAGCAGUGGGUAAUAUUGGACACUGGACGAAGGCCUGAUCCAGCAAUGCGGCGUAAGUGAUGAAGGCCGUAGGGUUGUAAAGCUCUUUUACCCGGGAUGAUAAUGACAGUACCGGGAGAAUAAGCUCCGGCUAACUCCGUG
RNAcentral lists this ribosomal RNA (433 nucleotides) under uncultured bacterium. RNAcentral's name for it is "partial 16S ribosomal RNA". It matches the Rfam family "Bacterial small subunit ribosomal RNA", at positions 29 to 507 of the family's 1533-position model. The record is from RNAcentral.